Bemisia tabaci is the source of this 507-nucleotide long non-coding RNA. RefSeq lists it as uncharacterized. NCBI's taxonomy places the organism in Eukaryota, Metazoa, Arthropoda, Insecta, Hemiptera, Aleyrodidae. The record is from RefSeq and is a predicted model, not a curated record.
GAAAUCUCUUGGGAGGUAGUUUUGAGGUACUUGCAAACCCAUUUUGGCCUUGAAUUCAGCAGCUGCAAACAUGCAGCGAAAAAGGAAACGAAUGAGAUGAAUGAUGCAAAAAGAUGGGACUAGAGACAAGCAAUUCUUUUCAAAAGAAGGAGUGACGUCAAGGGCCGAGAGCUGGAUGGCCGGAUGGGCAAUUUUUAGGCUUUUUCAAGUUUGAUUCCGCUUUUGGACAAGAAGUUGAGGGAGUAUUAAGAUAGUUUUUACACUGAUUUACCUCUCUUAUAAUACAAUAAAAUAAGCACUUAUUGUAGCCUAAUGCUGGCUUGCGUUCUGGUUAAAGGACGCAUUCAAAUCAAAAAUACCCUGAAAAAUGGCUAUUUUCAAUUUUCAGACCAAUACUGACAGCAAAAUAUCCCACUGAUUGUGAGACGAUUUGAUAACAGGCUAAAUUAUAUUUUUAUCAAUAAAUGUAGAACUUUUAAUGUCAAAAUAUACAGGAGGUUACAACUA